Molecule: long non-coding RNA, 1152 nt
Filed under: Homo sapiens (human)
Lineage: Eukaryota; Metazoa; Chordata; Mammalia; Primates; Hominidae
Description: novel transcript
Source: RNAcentral
GGUUAUUCCUCCUGCGCGGGAGCUUUGGGGACGCACUUCUGGAUGCCUAGGCCUCUUCCGUUUGCCUCUGGGACUGGCGAUACUCGAGAUGUCUUGAGGCCUUCCAGACCUUGCUCCACCUCCACCACCAGGUCUCCAGUCCUGAGCCACAUGCUGCCAUUUUUGUCUCAGAAGCACCCCUCUUCCAGGUGGAAGAUUGAAGGUCUGAAGAGUGGGAAGUCCCAGGAACAGGCAAUUCCAGGAAGAUAUGAGGAAAAUCAAGAAAGAGAAGGAAACUGAAGCUAGUGGGAAGUGCUUCAAGUUGGAGAUGAUGCUGAGAUGGCCAAAAAUUUUCAAACCUGAGUGAAUGAAUGAAUAAACGGACCUGGGAAUUGAUCAACAAUGGCUGCUGCAUCGCGUAAAGAGAGACGACCAGGUGUCAGCUGGCUGUCAACUGAUCUAGGAUGGUCUUGGAGGGACAACGAGGGCAACCCCAUGUCUCUUCUUUAGCAGGCCAGCCCAGACAUGCUUUCAUGGCUGAAUAGGAGCCAGCCUGGUCAUGGGAGCAAUUUUCAAGCAAGUCUCUGCUUGAAUGUCACAUUUACUAACAUCCUGUUGGCCAAGGUGCAUCCCAUGGCUGAGCCCAGUGUCCAAGUGAAAGGGCACCAGGAAGUUCCCUGCAGCGCUGUGGGUACUGGAAGAAUGGGCGCCAUCUUCAUGACAGCAGCAUGCUAAGUUACAGAAAGUGAGCGGCGUUCUAGACAAAGCAAGCUCAUCUGUGAAUGGAUCAUGGCGGAAACCUGACCACAGUAUGUUGGGAUUUAUGUGUUUGACAUUUUCUAUAAUAGAAAGGCAGAUCAAAAAUAAGGCUCCAGUGCCUCCACUCAGGAAAGCUCAAGUAGGUUUUCUUGAGAAUUUUUAGUGGAUACCCUGUUUUGCAAUGUUCUUUUCUUUUUCUAAUGAGGCUGAACCAGAUUGUAAUGCCAUGAGGCUUCUACAUGGAGAGCUGGACGUUGGUGAGGAUUGGGUGGAGAAGGCCGGGUGGAGGCUGGGCCUGGGAGAAGAGCAGCAGAUUCCCAAACGUACUGGUAUUGGUGCAUACUCUGAGAAAGACAUCUCAGAGCACUUCUGCCGUCAGUUACGAAGUUUCAAUAUAAGAAUUCUUUCUACACA